CAGCUAGCCCCCACCCCAAAAAACAACAACUCCUCAUCAAUAACCCCAAAAACACGAACACACCAUAAACAAACCAUUUUUCCCCCCCAGUAUAGGUGAUAGAAAAGGGCCCCGGAGCCAUAGAAAAAGUACCGCAAGGGAACGCUGAAAGAGAAAUGAAACAACCCAGUAAAGCUUAAAAAAGCAGAGAUUCUCCCUCGUACCUUUUGCAUCAUGAUUUAGCAAGUUUCCCCGAGCAAAGGGUACUUUAGUUCGAACCCCCGAAACUAAGUGAGCUACUCCAAGACAGCCUAGUUAGUAGGGCGAACCCGUCUCUGUGGCAAAAGAGUGGGAAGAGCUUUGAGUAGAGGUGACAGACCUACCGAACUUAGUUAUAGCUGGUUGCCUGGGAAUUGGAUAGAAGUUCAGCCUCACGGCUUCUUUCUUCACGCAUGAACCUUGCACUCUUAUUAGUCACCUUGACGAUACAUAAAGAAACCGUGAGAGUUAGUCAAAGGGGGUACAGCCCCUUUGACACAAGACACAACUUUACCAGGAGGGUAAGGAUCAUAUACAAUUAAGGGAAAGUAUUUUGGUGGGCCUAAAAGCAGCCAACCAUGCAGAAAGCGUUAAAGCUCAAACAUACCUCCACCCCUUCGAUCCUGAUAGCAUUAUCCCAACCCCCUAUUCCUACCGGGCCAUCCCAUGCAACCAUGGGAGUGACCAUGCUAAUAUGAGUAAUAAGAGAGCCCCACAUCUCUCUCCCUGCACAAGUGUACAUCGGAACGGACCCCCCACCGAACCUUAACGGCCCCAGACAAAGAGGGUAUUGCAAUAUUUAGCCCAGCCAACCAGAAAACCAUCCAAGACCGAACCGUUACCCCCACACUGGCGUGCAUUCAAGGAAAGACUAAAAGAAAAAGAAGGAACUCGGCAAACACAUGGAGCCUCGCCUGUUUACCAAAAACAUCGCCUCUUGCAAAUCACUGAAUAAGAGGUCCCGCCUGCCCUGUGACAUAGUUUAACGGCCGCGGUAUCUUGACCGUGCGAAGGUAGCGCAAUCACUUGUCUUUUAAAUGGGGACCUGUAUGAAUGGCAUAACGAGGGCUUAACUGUCUCCUUUUUCAAGUCAAUGAAAUUGAUCUCCCCGUGCAGAAGCGGGGAUAACUACAUAAGACGAGAAGACCCUGUGGAGCUUUAGACACCAGGGCAGAUCACGUUAAGCACACCUAAACACAGGGCUAAACCACAUGACCCCUGCCCCUAGUCUUCGGUUGGGGCGACCAUGGGGUAAAAUAAACCCCCCACGCGGAAUGGGAGUACCUAGCUCCUAAAAACCCAGAGCCUCCACUCUAGUUAGCAGAAUCUCUGACCUAAAGACCCGGCCAAGGCCGAUCAACGGACCAAGUUACCCCAGGGAUAACAGCGCAAUCCUCUUUUAGAGCCCAUAUCGACAAGAGGGUUUACGACCUCGAUGUUGGAUCAGGACGUCCUAAUGGUGCAGCCGCUAUUAAGGGUUCGUUUGUUCAACGAUUAAAGUCCUACGUGAUCUGAGUUCAGACCGGAGUAAUCCAGGUCAGUUUCUAUCUAUGACGCACUCUUUUCUAGUACGAAAGGACCGAAAAGAAGGGGCCCAUACUCCAAGUACGCCUCACCCCCACUUAAUGAAAACAUCUCAAAAAAGUAAGGAGGCGCACGCUAUGCCCGAGACAAGGGCAA
Molecule: ribosomal RNA, 1698 nt
Filed under: Pomadasys kaakan (javelin grunt)
Lineage: Eukaryota; Metazoa; Chordata; Actinopteri; Lutjaniformes; Haemulidae
Description: 16S ribosomal RNA
Rfam family: Bacterial large subunit ribosomal RNA
Source: RNAcentral